This 330-nucleotide ribosomal RNA is filed under the name uncultured bacterium. RNAcentral's name for it is "bacterial SSU rRNA". It matches the Rfam family "Bacterial small subunit ribosomal RNA", at positions 568 to 898 of the family's 1533-position model. The record is from RNAcentral.
UGCGUAGGCGGUGUGGUAAGUCUGUUGUGAAACCUCCGGGCUCAACUCGGAGCCUGCAACGGAAACUGCCGUGCUGGAGUAUGGGAGAGGUGAGUGGAAUUCCCGGUGUAGCGGUGAAAUGCGUAGAUAUCGGGAGGAACAUCCGAGGCGAAAGCGGCUCGCUGGAUCGCAACUGACGCUGAGGGACGAAAGCUAGGGGAGCAAACAGGAUUAGAUACCCUGGUAGUCCUAGCCCUAAACCAUCAGGACUUGGGGUUUGCCCUGUACGGGGCAAGUCCCGGAGCUAACGCGUUAAGUCCUGCGCCUGGGGAGUACGGUCGCAAGGCUGAA